UACGGAGGGGACUAGCGGUGUUCGGAAUUACUGGGCGUAAAGCGCGCGUAGGCGGAUUUGUAAGUCAGGGGGGAAAUCCCGGGGCUCAACCUCGGAACUGCCUUUGAUACUGCAAAUCUCGAGUCCGGAAGAGGUGAGUGGAAUUCCUAGUGUAGAGGUGAAAUUCGUAGAUAUUAGGAAGAACACCAGUGGCGAAGGCGGCUCACUGGUCCGGUACUGACGCUGAGGUGCGAAAGCGUGGGGAGCAAACAGG
This 253-nucleotide ribosomal RNA is filed under the name uncultured bacterium. RNAcentral describes it as "partial 16S ribosomal RNA". It matches the Rfam family "Bacterial small subunit ribosomal RNA", at positions 524 to 776 of the family's 1533-position model. The record is from RNAcentral.